Molecule: ribosomal RNA, 388 nt
Filed under: uncultured bacterium
Lineage: Bacteria
Description: bacterial SSU rRNA
Rfam family: Bacterial small subunit ribosomal RNA
Source: RNAcentral
GACGAACGCUGGCGGCGUGCUUAACACAUGCAAGUCGAACGGUGACGAAGAGCUUGCUCUUCUGAUCAGUGGCGAACGGGUGAGUAACACGUGAGCAACCUACCCUUGACACUGGGAUAACAGUUGGAAACAGCUGCUAAUACCGGAUAUGAACCUCACAGGCAUCUGAGAGGUUGGAAAGCUCCGACGGUCAAGGAUGGGCUCGCGGCCUAUCAGCUUGUUGGUGAGGUAACGGCUCACCAAGGCGACGACGGGUAGCCGGCCUGAGAGGGCGACCGGCCACACUGGGACUGAGAUACGGCCCAGACUCCUACGGGAGGCAGCAGUGGGGAAUAUUGCGCAAUGGGCGAAAGCCUGACGCAGCAACGCCGCGUGCGGGAUGACGGCC